Long non-coding RNA from Onychostoma macrolepis, 1844 nucleotides. RefSeq lists it as uncharacterized. The transcript is spliced from 6 exons. Lineage: Eukaryota; Metazoa; Chordata; Actinopteri; Cypriniformes; Cyprinidae. The record is from RefSeq and is a predicted model, not a curated record.
CACUGCUUAUACUGAUUCAGCAGAACAGAGUGAUGAGGAGAGGUAGGAGAGAUCCAGAGACUGUCAUAUUGUGUCUUAUUCAGUGUGUGAUCAGUCAUGUGUUGUGAACUGACAGCAGGUUUGUCUGUCUACACUCACAGCUCUCUCUAAGAGGAGACACAGGACGGCGACUGAGGCCGUUUAUGAGGAGAUUCAGCACAGACACAAUCACUUCACUCAGAGGGGGAGUCUCAUCUCUGAAGAACUGCAUUCUGGGUAUGAAAAUGCUGAUGAGCUGCUCUCAGAAGAGACGCUGAAGGAAAUCACACCGAGAUACUUUGAUGAUGUCAUCACUGAUGGACUGAAAGCAGAUCGUGAGACAGUGGACACAGCAGAUGAUUAUGAAGAUGUCAUCAUUAAUGGACAGAACUUUGAAGGUGUAACAGGUGUAAUCUAAUAGUCUCAGACAGUCAUGAAGAGAAAGAUAUCAAUGACACAAGCUGUGUUUCACAUUAUGUGAGGUUUUAUUUCACUCGUGUAUCAGAGGGAGAUCAGGAAGAGUAUGAUGAUGUGAAGAACAGCAGUGAAGAUGAGAGAAACAUGUUGGACUAUGAUGAUGUGGGGGAGGGACCAUAUUACUCAUGACCACACCCACUGCCUCUGUUCAUCAAAUCAUAUUUCAGUUACUGGAGCUGUUGGGAGUUUCUCAUACUGCUAUUAAUGCAUCACUGCUUUGCGUUUUUAUAUUAUUUUGAAUCUUUGUAUGAAAUGUUACAUGCUUUGCAAAAUUUGGUAAUGACAAUUUUCAAUCUUCAGUAUUUAGCCUAUUGUUUUCAAUGCAUAAAAGAUAUUAUUUUUUAUAAGUGAAUUUCUAUUAACUUUAUGAAUGAAAUAAUUUUUAGAAGAACAGUUAGAUGAAAGUGCUAAAGGCAGCAGCAUUAUCUACCUAAAUAAUGUAAAAAAAUAAAAUUGUCACAAAGUCACAUUUAAACACCAAUCCCAAAGCACAAUUCAUUGUAUGAUGGUCCAUUUGAACUUUAAAGAAUCUUAAACAGUUGUUUAGUCUAAUUUUGUCUUUGAAACUGAAUAAUUUGCAUAUUUUGAAUUAGCACCAUCUGGAGGUUGAGGAUGGAUUGAUCCUUCUUGGUUUUACUUUUCAACAACUUUUCAACUCUUUUAAGAAUUUCUACACAGACAGGCAUAAAACAAGCAUCAAUUAUUCAAUUACCACAACAUGAAAAUGACACAAUCAGAUGAUUGUACGGCAUUUUAAACUAAUUAUUGGCCAACAAAAAAAGAUUAAACUUCAAAAUCUAUUCUUAUGAAUCGGCAAUGCAUCAAGAAAUAGAGUGAAUUGUUACACUCACAUUUAAAACAAGUUCAAAAAAUGAAUGUAUGUUGCUCUUCUAGAACUAUCUUUACAUUACAAUAAGAUACUGUGUGACCAAAACACAGUGAACAGACACAUGUAGGUAUAAAUGGUCAUUCUGUUGUUCAAGGGGAAGAUAUCACUUCAAAAUGAAUCCAUAAUUGUUUUUUACCGUUUAAAGUAAGAUUUAUAGUUUCAUUUUCCUUUUUUGUAUGAUUUUUUUAAUAAACACUACCUUUAGUAACUAUUAGGGGUGACCCCGAAUAGUCGACGAUUCGAUGCUUCGAUAGGAGGAGCCUGAUUUGACUCUCAAUCUAGAAUUCCUUCCAUUUUGCCUGCUUAAAUCCCCAUCUUGCACACUGAUUAAAGUUUUGCUUUCCAACUACAUUCUGAAUCUCAUACUACAGGCCAGUGAUCACUACCCAAAUUAUCUUCAUGUCUACUCCAAGUACACUUACCAGCUAAAGCUGCUGAUGUUAUUGUGAGAUCUAAACAU